CCUACGGGUGGCAGCAGUGAGGAAUAUUGGUCAAUGGACGCAAGUCUGAACCAGCCAUGCCGCGUGCAGGAUGACGGCUCUAUGAGUUGUAAACUGCUUUUGUACGAGGGUAAACCCCGAUACGUGUAUCGGUUUGAAAGUAUCGUACGAAUAAGGAUCGGCUAACUCCGUGCCAGCAGCCGCGGUAAUACGGAGGAUUCAAGCGUUAUCCGGAUUUAUUGGGUUUAAAGGGUGCGUAGGCGGUGUGAUAAGUUAGAGGUGAAAUGCCGGGGCUCAACUCCGAAACUGCCCCUAAUACUGUUCGACUAGAGAGUAGUUGCGGUAGGCGGAAUGUAUGGUGUAGCGGUGAAAUGCUUAGAGAUCAUACAGAACACCGAUUGCGAAGGCAGCUUACCAAGCUAUAUCUGACGUUGAGGCACGAAAGCGUGGGGAGCAAACAGGAUUAGAUACCCUGGUAGUC
RNAcentral lists this ribosomal RNA (460 nucleotides) under uncultured bacterium. RNAcentral's name for it is "partial 16S ribosomal RNA". It matches the Rfam family "Bacterial small subunit ribosomal RNA", at positions 338 to 795 of the family's 1533-position model. The record is from RNAcentral.